CCUACGGGAGGCAGCAGUGGGGGAUAUUGGACAAUGGGGGAAACCCUGAUCCAGCGAUGCCGCGUGAGGGAAGAAGGUUUUCGGAUUGUAAACCUCUGUGGAGGGGGACGAUAAUGACGGUACCCCUGUAGGAAGCCACGGCUAACGACGUGCCAGCAGCCGCGGUAAUACGUAGGGGGCGAGCGUGGUCCGGAUUUACUGGGGGUCAAGGGAGUGGAGGCGGGAAAGCCAGUCAGAAGUGAAAACUAUGGGCUUAACCCAUAGCCUGCUUUUGAAAGUUUUUUUCUUGAGUGAAGGAGAGGCAAGCGGAUUUCCUAGUGUAGCGGUGAAAUGCGUAUAUAUUAGGAGGAGCACCAGUGGCGAUCGCGGCUUGCUGGGCUUUUCCUGCCGCUGUGGCUCGAAAGCGUGGGGAGCAAACAGGAUUAGAUACCCUUGUAGUC
RNAcentral lists this ribosomal RNA (440 nucleotides) under uncultured bacterium. RNAcentral describes it as "partial 16S ribosomal RNA". It matches the Rfam family "Bacterial small subunit ribosomal RNA", at positions 338 to 795 of the family's 1533-position model. The record is from RNAcentral.